UAUUAAACUAGGGAUAGAUACCCUAUUAUUCUAAUUUAAAUUUAAAUAUAUUGGAGAUUAAAUGUGAAACAUUAAAUUUAGAUAAUUUGGCGGUAUCUUAAAAAGUUAGAGGAAUCUGUAAAUUAAAUGAUAAUCCACGAUAGGAUUGUCCUAAUAAAUUUUUAUGUAUUGUUGUUUAAAUAUUGAUUUAAAAGAAUUUAAUAGAAAUUUAUAAUAAUAAAAGAAUUCAAAUCAAAAUGUAGAGUUAUUAGGGUUAUAUGGAUUACAAUUUAAUUUAAUAUUGGAUUUUAAAAUUUUAAAUAUUUAAAUGAAAUAGGAUUUGAUAGUAAGAUUAUAAAAUAAUAUAAUUUGAAUUUUAUCUGAGAUAUGUACAAAUUGCCGUUCAUUUUCAAUA
Molecule: ribosomal RNA, 394 nt
Filed under: Crematogaster physothorax
Lineage: Eukaryota; Metazoa; Arthropoda; Insecta; Hymenoptera; Formicidae
Description: partial 12S ribosomal RNA
Source: RNAcentral